UACGAAGGGUGCAAGCGUUAAUCGGAAUUACUGGGCGUAAAGCGUGCGUAGAUGGUUCAUUAAGUCGGAUGUGAAAGCCCCGGGCUCAACCUGGGAAUGGCAUCCGAUACUGGUGGACUAGAGUGCAGUAGAGGAGAGCGGAAUUCCCGGUGUAGCGGUGAAAUGCGUAGAGAUCGGGAGGAACAUCCGUGGCGAAGGCGGCUCUCUGGACCAGCACUGACGUUGAGGCACGAAAGCGUGGGGAGCAAACAGG
This 253-nucleotide ribosomal RNA is filed under the name uncultured bacterium. RNAcentral describes it as "partial 16S ribosomal RNA". It matches the Rfam family "Bacterial small subunit ribosomal RNA", at positions 524 to 776 of the family's 1533-position model. The record is from RNAcentral.